Molecule: long non-coding RNA, 679 nt
Filed under: Monodelphis domestica (gray short-tailed opossum)
Lineage: Eukaryota; Metazoa; Chordata; Mammalia; Didelphimorphia; Didelphidae
Description: lncRNA (ENSMODG00000034204.2)
Source: RNAcentral
UGUCAGGGAAGGUUGGCUGAAUGGUUUGUAGACUGUACGUGUGUGCAUACGUGUGUGUGUGUGUGUGUGUGUGUGUGUGUUAAAGAUCAGCUAUUCUGAAGUCUCUUUCCAAAGCUUAGCUAGACUCUAAAGCAGAAGACUGGAUGGCUUGUACUGCCAUUGUGGGAGGGAAGAAGCAGAGCCGAAGAUCUCCCAAAGCAGAAGAUGGGUGACAGCAUCAGAUUCCACUUACAUGGGGUUAUAAAGGAAAGAGAAGAACGAAAGCUACAGACUUCUUAUUACACGGUGGACUACAGGGAGUGAUAUAAUUCUUGGAUGUCAUGUGAAAUGUGAAGCCAUUUUUCUUGGACUGAUGUCCCCAGUUCUCUACUAAACACAGUAGCUCCCUUGCUUCUUCCAGAAGAUCAUCCAGCAAUGAAUGACCUUAUCAAUUACACUACUAUUGCUACAACUACAAAAACUACUACUACAACUCCUCGUCUUCCUAUUGUGGCUGCUUCUCCCACCACAACUACGACUACUACAGUAACUACUAUUAUGACCAUUACCACUACCGCAACAACUGCUACUACUAUUCUCUUUGUGAUCUAGCUCUUUUUUUUUUCUAAUUAAAGAAACCUUGUGGUACAUUCAUUUUUAAAGGGAAAUGUAUUCUGAAUUAUAAGUAAAUCUUUAAGUU